Molecule: unclassified non-coding RNA, 381 nt
Filed under: soil metagenome
Description: partial contains 5.8S ribosomal RNA, internal transcribed spacer 2, and large subunit ribosomal RNA
Rfam family: 5.8S ribosomal RNA (bases 1-120)
Source: RNAcentral
GAUGAAGAACGCAGCGAAACGCGAUAGUUAAUGUGAAUUGCAGAAUUCAGUGAAUCAUCGAGUCUUUGAACGCACAUUGCGCCCCUCGGUAUUCCGGAGGGCAUGUCUGUUUGAGCGUCAUUUCAACUCUCGCUUUAAGCGGUAUUGAGCUUAGUUUCAUUUCGAAUUCAUUCGAAAUGAAUCUAGCUUUAAAGUUGAUGUUUUUGCGGACGAAUGUCUUGAAUAAACAUAGUAAAAUCUUUGAUUUCUUCUGUUUGUUCAUAAUGAUCGUCUUGCCAAACUAAUUUUCUAAUUUUUUUUAAUUAGAAAAUAAUUUUUUCAUUUUUGACCUCAGAUCAGACAAGGAUACCCGCUGAACUUAAGCAUAUCAAAAGCGGAGGA